CUCAAAGACGAUGAGGUAGAUAGGUUCGGGGUGGAAGCGUGGCGACACGUGCAGCUGACGAAUACUAAUCGAUCGAGGACUUAACCAA
This 88-nucleotide ribosomal RNA is filed under the name Psychrobacillus psychrodurans. Its description in RNAcentral is "partial 23S ribosomal RNA". It matches the Rfam family "Bacterial large subunit ribosomal RNA", at positions 2837 to 2925 of the family's 2925-position model. RNAcentral also lists the same sequence under 1 other name. The record is from RNAcentral. Lineage: Bacteria; Bacillati; Bacillota; Bacilli; Caryophanales; Bacillaceae.